Molecule: unclassified non-coding RNA, 220 nt
Filed under: Hevea brasiliensis (rubber tree)
Lineage: Eukaryota; Viridiplantae; Streptophyta; Magnoliopsida; Malpighiales; Euphorbiaceae
Source: RNAcentral
GAAAAUUUUGAUUAGUGAUCAUGACAAAAAUUUAGAAAAAUCAUAUAAUCCACUAUCCAGUGACAUAGUUUUUUCUUACUAUUGUCAACAAAUCUCCUCAUUGUCUGUUUCAUUAAGAGCCUCAGACUUGCGAUAUCCGAUUUCAAUAUACUUAUCUAAACUCCUCUCGAAUUCUUUCGAGCAGAGACCUCGUACUCUAAGUAAAUCUUUAAGCUCUUCU